GUGUAGUCUGGCUAGUAAAUUAAAGUUAAGGUAAGAAUUCUUUGAUUUUUUAGGGGACGAUAAGACCCUAGAAGCUUUAAAGAAUAAAAAUUUUUAGUAAUGGCAUGUAUUUUUUACUGGGGCGGUACUAGUUUAUUAACUACUAGUAGUAAAGGGUGAUCCUCUAUAUAAAGAUAGUUCGGUGAAGUUACUCUAGGGAUAACAGUGCGGUAUUUUUGGAAAGGUCUUAUUGAUAAAAAUGUUCGCAACCUCGAUGUUGAAUUAAGGUGUCUACGUGGGGAAGCAAAUACAGUAGAGGGUUUGUUCAACCUUUAUAUUCUUACAUG
This 326-nucleotide ribosomal RNA is filed under the name Gammarus cf. fossarum K DCC-2015. RNAcentral describes it as "partial large subunit ribosomal RNA". The stretch from base 55 to 326 matches the Rfam family "Bacterial large subunit ribosomal RNA", at positions 2078 to 2602 of the family's 2925-position model. Lineage: Eukaryota; Metazoa; Arthropoda; Malacostraca; Amphipoda; Gammaridae. The record is from RNAcentral.